Long non-coding RNA from Cyprinus carpio carpio, 1079 nucleotides. NCBI's taxonomy places the organism in Eukaryota, Metazoa, Chordata, Actinopteri, Cypriniformes, Cyprinidae. The record is from Ensembl.
GGCGAGCAAAACCAACGCUUCGUCCUCUCACUCUUCCUUUGGGAGGGUUAUUUAUAUUCCUCGAGAAACCACCGAAAGCAUUGACUAAUUGCUGAAGGGGUCGGCCACAUGCUUUGGCUAAAGGGCAUGAAAAAUCGUUUUCUGUCUUUCACUUUGCAUCCUUUGCCAAAGUGGGCAGGGAGAAAGAGCUCGUGGUGAGGCGGGUGAAACGGAGGCCGCUGUAUGUGCUCUUUCUUCAGCCACAACCCCGAGGAAGAGCAUGUUUGGUGGUAGCACGUUUCUAGGUCUCUCUCCUCGAGAUAGGCGUAGUAUGUGCAUGAGUCUUCUCUUCUCGCCGCCAUGACCCUGCCUUGGGUUCUUUGACGCUGAAGCCUCUAGUCUGCAGGUAUUCCGUUUUUUCACACUUUCGUACUUUGUAAUAUCUUGUAGAUUAUUUUGUCAGAAAUUCUCGUAAAGCAUCAUCGUCGAUUCUUUCACCCAGCUGCUCUGGCUCUCUUGUUCACUGUUGUCUUCCUCUUGUAAACGUGUCUGCUUCACCCCUGAGUCCAUGCCUCGGAUUCCGCCAUUUCUACUACACUAAACGAUUUUCGAAUGAAAUAAUUGUUGAUGUACAUUUGAGAAAUGUUUUUAGGCUCGAAGUUAUUUUAAAAAAUGGCUUGAAGCUAUUUAAAUAGGCUUGAAGCUAUUUAAAAAAUUGUGUUAAUAUUUUCAAAAGUUAUUUUCACGAUGAGGUACGCGUUUCUUCACAUAGCAUGCAUGUUCCGUUAGUUUUGGGUGGUGUUGUGCAAUUGAUUUUGGGGUUUGCGUUUGUUUAGGGAUUUGAAUGAUUUAAACAACAUGUAAAUAGUGUUUGGCUGCUACCUUAAUGUUUCUGGAGGAAAAUUAAUACAGUGAUGUGUUUGGAUAUGAUGCUAGUGUUUUGAGGAUGGCCUAUUAAUUCCCCUGAAGUCAAAAAUAUGUUGCACAUCCCUCACAUUGUGUUUUGUUGAAUAGAUUAUGGUCAGUUUUGUAUUAUAUAUUUCUGUUAAAAGAAAGUGCUGGUGAGGAAUCAGCUGUGGCAGAAAUAGUACAUAUUAGAA